This 457-nucleotide long non-coding RNA is filed under the name Hordeum vulgare. Its description in RNAcentral is "long non-coding RNA (HVUL_LNC008466)". Lineage: Eukaryota; Viridiplantae; Streptophyta; Magnoliopsida; Poales; Poaceae. The record is from RNAcentral.
UAGCACAGCAUGACUUGGAAAACUAAACUGAAUACGUAUAAGAUUACAUUUCCUUUGCCUGGAUAUCGAUUAAACAGCGCAAUUGCAUGCGCUGCAUACAAACAAACAAAGUCGCUAGUCACAUACCAACGGAAUCCAUCCACCAUCCAUCCAUGCGAAAACAGUACUACUAGGAUGACUGGCUCGCAUCAUGUCAGUCAUCCUCCUUGAGCGGAAAAGCCAUAUCCAUGACGAUCGCGUCGUCAUCCUCGUCUUCAUCCUCCUCCAGCGGAAAAGGCAUCGACGGACCCCCCUCGUCGACGGGAGCACUCAUCCAUGGAUCACCCUCGACCACAUCCAUGACGAUGGCGUGCCUGCUCACAUCGAUAUCCUCGUCUUCAUCCUCCUCCAGCGGAAAAGGCAUCGACGGACCCCCCUCGUCGACGGGAGCACUCAUCCAUGGAUCACCCUCGACCAC